GUGAGGAAUAUUGGACAAUGGGCGCAAGCCUGAUCCAGCCAUGCCGCGUGCAGGAAGACGCAUCUAUGGUGUGUAAACUGCUUUUGUACGGGAAGAAACACUCCCUCGUGAGGGAGCUUGACGGUACCGUAAGAAUAAGGAUAGGCUAACUCCGUGCCAGCAGCCGCGGUAAUACGGAGGAUCCAAGCGUUAUCCGGAAUCAUUGGGUUUAAAGGGUCCGUAGGCGGUUUAAUAAGUCAGUGGUGAAAGCCCAUCGCUCAACGAUGGAACGGCCAUUGAUACUGUUAGACUUGAAUUACAAGGAAGUAACUAGAAUAUGUAGUGUAGCGGUGAAAUGCUUAGAUAUUACAUGGAAUACCAAUUGCGAAGGCAGGUUACUACUUGUGGAUUGACGCUGAUGGACGAAAGCGUGGGGAGCGAACAGGAUUAGAUACCCUGGUAGUCC
Molecule: ribosomal RNA, 445 nt
Filed under: uncultured bacterium
Lineage: Bacteria
Description: partial 16S ribosomal RNA
Rfam family: Bacterial small subunit ribosomal RNA
Source: RNAcentral